CAUAAGUUGGCAGGCCUCAAUCCUGCAA
Molecule: transfer RNA, 28 nt
Filed under: Pachydactylus tigrinus
Lineage: Eukaryota; Metazoa; Chordata; Lepidosauria; Squamata; Gekkonidae
Description: partial tRNA-Asn
Source: RNAcentral